AAACACUCCAUUAUUGCCCAGGCAGAGUGUGAGUCCCAGGAUUCACAGGAGUUCUGCCCCAAUGGCAGCAUCUCCUCCCAGUCGCUUCUUGGAGCCAUCUCUCGCAGUUGGCCCAAAAAGAAACGGCAU
Molecule: long non-coding RNA, 129 nt
Organism: Cyprinus carpio (common carp)
Lineage: Eukaryota; Metazoa; Chordata; Actinopteri; Cypriniformes; Cyprinidae
Exons: 3
Source: RefSeq, a predicted model, not a curated record